This 630-nucleotide long non-coding RNA is filed under the name Nicotiana tabacum (common tobacco). RNAcentral describes it as "long non-coding RNA (NTAB_LNC002176)". The record is from RNAcentral. Lineage: Eukaryota; Viridiplantae; Streptophyta; Magnoliopsida; Solanales; Solanaceae.
UUUCAAACAAAAGGUAUAGAAAGCAGAUAGAUUAUUCGUAGACUUUGCACUCCUUGUCAGCAGGGUUAGUCUUGCAGUAGUCCUCCAAGGCGUCUCCACUUCCUUCCACAGAUGAACCAGGCCAUUUGCUUGCUACCAGAUGAGCCAAGUCAACCACACGUUGGCUGCAAUUUUACCAAGUACGGUCACCGGUUAAUCAAGGAUAUAUAUGUGCGCGUGUAUGUGUGUGUUUAACAUUAGUUGCUAAUGCAAAAGAUUUUUCAGGCUGGUGGUAUAAGCACGGAAAAGUUUGUGCUAAGUUUACCUGUAUCCCCACUCGUUAUCAUACCAAGCGACAACCUUGACCAUGUCAUCUCCCAUAACCAUGGUCAAAGAGGAAUCAAUGGUGGAGGAAACAUCACUGCAUCGGAAAUCAACUGAUACGAGUGGAACAUCACAAACAGCCAAUAUGCCAUUCAGUGGACCGUCAGCUGCCUUUCUGAAAGCUGCAUUGACAUCUUCAGCUGAAAUUCCUUUCUUCUCAAUGUUGACAACGAGGUCAACAACCGAAACAUUAGGUGUUGGAACUCGGAGAGCAAUGCCAUUGAGCUUGCCCUUGAGCUGGGGUAGCACUAGAGAAACAGCCUUGGC